AAAACACCUUAUCUUCUCAAACACAUAUACAUAAUAUACAUAACACAGACAAAACACCCACAUAUGAAAAUCAAAUCUCAUCCAUCUCAACAAACCAUCAACACACUCCCUCAUCCUCUCCCCCUCUGAUGAAGAUGAACGGCCGGACUCCGGCCAGGCAUAGCGGAGCCGGCGACGGCGGUGGUGGCUCUGAACGACGGCAACACCCACCCCCAUAUCCUUCAUCUCUUUCAUCAUGCCCGACGAGCAGAAUCAGCCGGCCACCACCACUUUUGGGUGGUGGCGUGCGACAGCGACAAGCAGAAAGAAAGAGAGAGAGGAUUCGGAAAGAAAGAGAGACCGGAGUAGGUGAAGCGACGGCGGCAAACAGCGCCGCCGUCUACGGUGGUGAUACGGAGGAGCGGCGACGGGGGGGUUAGAUGGUUUUAUUCAGCUGAUGUUGUGGAUUCGGGGCUUAGAUUCAACAGAUUCGUGGUUCGGGUUCUGAGAUGGUUUGAGUUUGGGUUCAGAUUCGUGUUCAGGUUUUAAGUUCAUCUCAGAUUUCAUGCUCGGGUUCUCGGGUCAGAUUCCGAGUCUCGUUUCGGCGGGUUUUCGUGUCCCGUUCGGGUUCAGUCAACAGAUGGGUUCAAGUCAGCUGGUCAGCUCGUUGUUCGGGUCAAGCGGCUUGGUCAGACGGUCCGGUUUGGUUAACUCGGUCAAACCGAGUCAACUCGGUCAAACCCGCUUAACUCAGCCAACUUCCUUCGGCAUCUCGACACGAAGAUUCGGAAUAUUGUAGAAUGCACGCUAGCGAGUCUCGUCUUGGAAACGACAUUACGAAGUCGUAAUUAGCUAGCUUUGCACAAGACAAUCCAGGUUGCAUUUCAAAGUUAAGGCACGGUUGGAAUAGGAGAACCAUUGAGGAUUCGAGUACUUAGUUGGCGUUCGUUUUCUAGAAGUCUUAGCUUAAUUUGCUUCCGCUGUGAAAUGAAGAUACCAGUCCAGUCAAGCCAGCUCUGAUAUUUCAGGGUGUGACAGAUUGGUAUCAGAGCUAUAGGUUAUAGCAAAUUAGGUUUAUGUAGAGAUACCUAGGCUCUAACCUCACUUUCCUCUGGGAACUUAGAAUAUUAAAACCUGAACACAUACAGAACGCCUAAGACUCGAAUAUGGUCUCCAACCGUUGCCGAAAAACAAACAUUCAAAAUUUUGCUUUCAAACAUACGCUAAAGUGGUGUUUUACACACGGUACACAAAACAGUCGCAUACAGUACAUAAAACUCUGAGAGUUUAGGAAACAUGCAUUUAAGACCUUCGGAAACUCAUGUUGAAGUUCAUCACGUAGGAACCACGUUUAUUAACUCGGACAAACGCCAUUAUUAUGUCAUCCAUGCUAUUUUAAGUAACCGAGCAGGUAACCUACGCAAAACAAAGUUCGGGCGCGCAAAUUACACGAAACUCAACCUAUACGUCAAUGGAGGUUGAAGUAUGUCAUGUACGAAUAUCGAGGCAAGGUCUUUGAGAAGACAUGAUGGCGCGACUGUAUGACGCAAGAUUCCGUCAGCAGGAGGACUACCGAAUCAUGAUGCGGCAACUUGUCACGCGAUCCUGCAACGACAAAAAUCACGCCAGGAGAAGACGUAUGUCUCCGCAUUCCCCCUAUCGCAUUAACGACGAAUACGCUAUGUUCGACAUUCUCUGGUAAUGUCACCUAACAACCGGUUAUCACAUGCAACCCCAGGUAAAGUCCUUAAGUUUCUUUUAUUGAAAUUCCGACUUUUGCAUCUAGUGAGUAGAUUUUCACAUCUCUACUCCUCUUAAUGGUCAUUGUAUCACGAUCAUUUCUUUCAUUAUAACGAAUACUCGUUGCUUUAUUUCUUGAGGAAUACAUAUGUUACGCAUGCAUUGUUUGUUACGCAUGUGGCUUCGUUUCGAAUAAGCGUUUCAUUUGUUCCGAGUCAUAGUGGACUUGUUUGGUCUAUGACUCCAUUAAGUUGUUUGUUGAUUUCGACACCUUGUGAUGGUGUUUUCACUAAUUGAGGCUUGCACUAAUCUCGUUUACAUAUCUCAUGCACGGAUUUAAAUUAUUUAUUUAUUGAUUUGCUUUAAAUUCGCUUUGAUUUAUCAUAUUACAGCAGUCUUAACACAAUCAUGUGUUAAGGCAAUGGUACACAAAUUCAUUCUAUAUUCCGGUGUACCUACUAAAGUUUCUUUCAACAUCGAUCGAAUAUUUUGCGAUAUUUAUUGCUUCUUCGUCUUCGAUCGAAAAAAGUGUUUCUUUGAUGUUCCAUUUUCAAUUGAAAAUUCUAUGAUGUCAUUUGAAACAAACUUUCAGAUUCACUUUGUUGCGCUUUCAUUUGAUUUCAAACACGGUGAAUUUGUUUGAACACCGAUAUUAUUGAAUUAUUUAAAUCACUACGACACCUUGUGGUGUCAGUACAAACUGGUAGCUUAGGCUAAUCAUGAUUGAGCGAUUUAUGCAAACACGGGUGAUACUUGUUCGAUCACCGCUAUAUUUGAAUUGUUUCAUUCACUACGACACCUUGUGGCGUCAGUAGAACUUGCAGCUUGCGCUGAUCAUGAUCGAGCUUUUCAUGCAAAACUAUUUUCUUGAACUUGAUGAUUCUAAUUUCCAUUUAGUAGAUGUUAUCGUUUCUAGAAUUCAUUUGCAUAUUGUAAACGUCCACUUGGAAUUCUAUUGGUUGAAAUUCCUCUUUUAUUGGACCCCUGUUAACUUGGUCACAUUGAUGACUGUAUCAGUAUAUCUCGUUUCCUUUGACAUUAUUCGUAUUUACUUACGCAUAACGUAACUCUAAGGAGUUAACGUAAUCUAAAUUUCGAGUACGAAAUUUUAUUAACAGGGGGAGAAUGUGACAACCGGUGAUUUACGGCUUUUAAUUACGCGAUUAACAGACGAUUAACGCGACUACGAUGGAUACCGACAUUAUUUUUUUACACGUUUCUUUUUAACUCUGAAAUGUUAUUUUACUAGGCUAUGGUGAUUUCGGUUUUAAAAACGUGUCUCGGGCCACUUACACAUGAGAUGGGCUUGUGGGCCCUAGGCCUAAGCCCAAAACCCACAAGCCUAAACCUGCACAUAAUAUAUUAGAAUCUUAUCAAGAUUUACAAAAUCUACACAAGAUUUAUAAAAUCCGAUUAAGAUCUCUACAAUCUACUCAAAAUCUCUGCAAAGAUUAUGUCUCAAAAUUUAGUAACACAAGAUCUCUUCAAAAUCACAAACUCUCUAUAAAAACCUUUCAUCAUCUUACUAUAAUCACACACAUACACACACACACACAAAUACAAGAAAACCCUUAUCCUUCUUCUGUUACCAUCUUUAUACACACAGAGACACACACGUAUAAAACACCUUAUCUUCUCAAACACAUAUACAUAACACAGAUAACACACCCACAUAUGAAAAUCAAAUCUCAUCCAUCUCACCAAACCAUCAACACACUCCCUCAUCCUCUCCCCCUCUGAUGAAGAUGAACGGCCAGACUCCGGCCAGGCAUGGCGGAGCCGGCGACGGCGGUGGUGGCUCUGAACGACGGCAACACCCACCCCCACAUUCCUCGUCUCUUUCAUCAUGCUAGACGAGCAGAAUCAGCCGGCCACCACCAUUUUCGGGUGGUGGCGUGUGGCGGCGACAAGCAGAAAGAAAGAGAGAGAAGAGUCGGAAAGAAAGAGAGACCAGAGUAGGUGAACCGACGGCGGCAAACAGCGCCGCCGUCUACGGUGGUGAGACGGAGGAACGCCGACGAGGGUUGGAUGGUUUUGUUCAGCUGAUGUUGUGGAUUCGGGGCUUAGAUUCAAGAGAUUCGUGGUUCGGGUUCUGAGAUGGUUUGAGUUUGGGUUCAGAUUCAUGUUCAGGUUUUAAGUUCAUCUCAGAUUUCAUGCUCGGGUUCUCGGGUCAGAUUCCGGGUCUCGUUUCAGCGGGUUUUCGUGUCUCGUUCGGGUUCAGUCAACAGAUGGGUUCAAGUCAGCUGGUCAGCUCGUUGUUCGGGUCAAGCGGCUUGGUCAGACGGUCCGGUUUGGUUAACUCGGUCAAACCGAGUCAACUCGGUCAAACCCGCUUAACUCAGCCAACUUCCUUCGGCAUUUCGACACGAAGAUUCGGAAUAUUGUAGAAUGCACGCUAGCGAGUCUCGUCUUGGAAACGACAUUACGAAGUCAUAAUUAGCUAACUUUGCACAAGACAAUCCAGGUUGCAUUUCAAAGUUAAGGCACGGUUGGAAUAGGAGAACCAUUGAGGAUUCGAGUACUUAGUUGGCGUUCGUUUUCUAGAAGUCUUGGCUUAAUUUCCUUCCGCUGUGCAAUGAAGAUACUAGUCCAGUCAUGUCAGCUCUGAUAUUUCGGGGUGUGACAUAAUCACCCUAAAAAUAAUCUAAACAACCAUAAACAACCUCAAAACACACGAAAUUUCAAAUCUAUUUAAAAAUUUUAUUACCCUUUUUCUCCUAUUAUAUCAACUAAUAUCAUCAAAAAAACAUAAAAACUUACCCUUUAUCGGAUUUCGGUUGGUUUGGUGUCAGACGACGGUGGUUCACGGCUGCUGAUGACGUGCUGUUGUGGCUGCUGUGUUCGCUGAUCGCUGGCAGGAGACGACACAAGAGAGGAGGGCGGGAGGAAUUCUAAGAGACUAUUGGGCUUAUUAUUAUAUAUAUCAAAUUACAUCGCAUGAUUGCGCUAGUGGUUUUUUAGGUUUACAAAUUUGGCCACCGUAGUUUGUCUUUUGAAAUUGUUGCACCAAUAAAGUAAGAGAGAGAUUGUUUCCUUCAAAACCCUGUGCACACAACUACAUGCAACCCCUAUGCACACAACUACAUGCAACCCCUAUGCUCUCCUUCUUCUUCGAUUACACACACACCCACCCUGAUUCCCACCUCUUCACCAGCGAUUAGCUGGUGCCGGCCGAAAUUCCCGCCACCGGCGCCCCCUCUCUCCGGCCGUCGCUCACCCACAAUCACCUGCAACUCCUCGAUCACCUGCAAACCCCCUUCAUAUCAUGUCUCCGGCACACAUACACCACACGCACACCCUGGUUUCUUCCGGCAACGAGACGCACAGAGAGAGAGAGAGAUUGGGGAUCGACACGGAAGACCAGAGUGUGAGAGAGAGAGGAGGAACACGCUGACGUCACUCCGGUGGCCGGAAACGGCGACUAGGCCAAUGACGCCACAUGGAGAUGAUUAUGAUGACGGUGUCGUUGAUGAUAACCUCAUUUCUCCGGUAAGAGCACCGGCGUUCCUUCGAUUUUUUUUUGGUAAAAAUUUCUACUUAAAAACAAAGCAGACCCGUUACCAUUUACAAUUUACACAUUCAGGUACGAUGCUAUGUUGAUAGUAAAAUUGUCAAUUUCUGCUUUAUGUGUUUUAAUAUGAUCUUGGUGCUACUUUCGAUCUACUUCAUAAACAUCAUAAUUUUCCAAAGACUAGAUCUAUAGACGCCUUAAUGCUUGCAAUAGCAGCUUGCUGAAGCACUUGAGAAGCUUUUCUUUCUUUCUUUAACUCAUUUAAUCAGCCUUUAGUAUAUGCUGGUAGGUUUUUGCCAUUUUGAUUAUGGUUUGUGUUUCAUUUUGGCAUUGACUAAAAUUGUUCAAUUUUUGUUUACCAUAACAUCCAUGUAUAGAUGUACUGAGAAAAAAAAACCUCAAUUUAAAUGGAUAAAUGCAUAAUUUCAUGUUUUUAAGUGUUUGCUUCCAACAAUGCAAAUCUACCCAUCUCAAAGAAAUCAUCUUAUUCAUGAAUAACAAGGCAAUCGUGAUAUUUUGAAGUAUUCUAAAAAUUUAGCCAAGCAAAGGAUUAUUAAUUCUUAACAAAAAUAGGUCGAAGC
This is a long non-coding RNA of Helianthus annuus (common sunflower), 5811 nucleotides long. RefSeq lists it as uncharacterized. Lineage: Eukaryota; Viridiplantae; Streptophyta; Magnoliopsida; Asterales; Asteraceae. The record is from RefSeq and is a predicted model, not a curated record. The transcript has 5 exons.